AGUCGAACGAAGUAGCAAUACUUAGUGGCAGACGGGUGAGUAACAUGUGGGUAUCUGCCCUUUGGCCUGGAAUAACACGAGGAAACUUGUGCUAAUACCGGAUAAGUCUUUACGGAGAAAGCUUUAUGCACCAAUGGAUGAGCCUGCACUUGAUUAGUUUGUUGGUAGGGUAAUGGCCUACCAAGACUGUGAUCAAUAGCUGAUUUGAGAGGAUGAUCAGCCACAUUGGGACUGAGACACGGCCCAAACUCCUACGGGAGGCAGCAGUGGGGAAUCUUGCACAAUGGAGGAAACUCUGAUGCAGCGAUGCCGCGUGAGUGAAGAAGGCCCUUGGGUUGUAAAGCUCUUUCGUCGGGGAAGAAAAUGACUGUACCCGAAUAAGAAGGUCCGGCUAACUUCGUGCCAGCAGCCGCGGUAAUACGAAGGGACCUAGCGUAGUUCGGAAUUACUGGGCUUAAAGAGUUCGUAGGUGGUUGAAAAAGUUGGUGGUGAAAUCCCAGAGCUUAACUCUGGAACUGCCAUCAAAACUUUUCAGCUAGAGUUUGAUAGAGGAAAGCAGAAUUUCUAGUGUAGAGGUGAAAUUCGUAGAUAUUAGAAAGAAUACCAAUUGCGAAGGCAGCUUUCUGGAUCAAUACUGACACUGAGGAACGAAAGCAUGGGUAGCGAAGAGGAUUAGAUACCCCCGUAGUCCAUGCCGUAAACGAUGUGUGUUAGACGUUGGAAAUUUAUUUUCAG
RNAcentral lists this ribosomal RNA (735 nucleotides) under uncultured marine bacterium. RNAcentral's name for it is "bacterial SSU rRNA". It matches the Rfam family "Bacterial small subunit ribosomal RNA", at positions 60 to 843 of the family's 1533-position model. The record is from RNAcentral.